GACAGGUGCUGCAUGGCUGUCGUCAGCUCGUGUUGUGAAAUGUUGGGUUAAGUCCCGCAACGAGCGCAACCCUUAUCCUUUGUUGCCAGCGGUCCGGCCGGGAACUCAAAGGAGACUGCCAGUGAUAAACUGGAGGAAGGUGGGGAUGACGUCAAGUCAUCAUGGCCCUUACGACCAGGGCUACACACGUGCUACAAUGGCGCAUACAAAGAGAAGCGACCUCGCGAGAGCAAGCGGACCUCAUAAAGUGCGUCGUAGUCCGGAUUGGAGUCUGCAACUCGACUCCAUGAAGUCGGAAUCGCUAGUAAUCGUGGAUCAGAAUGCCACGGUGAAUACGUUCCCGGGCCUUGUACACACCGCCCGUCACACCAUGGGAGUGGGUUGCAAAAGAAGUAGGUAGCUUAACCUUCGGGAGGGCGCUUACCACUUUGUGAUUCAUGACUGGGGUGAAGUCGUAACAAGGUAACCGUAGGGGAACCUGCGGUUGGAUCACCUCCUUACCUUAAAGAA
This 510-nucleotide ribosomal RNA is filed under the name Salmonella enterica subsp. enterica. RNAcentral describes it as "bacterial SSU rRNA". It matches the Rfam family "Bacterial small subunit ribosomal RNA", at positions 1033 to 1533 of the family's 1533-position model. The record is from RNAcentral. Lineage: Bacteria; Pseudomonadati; Pseudomonadota; Gammaproteobacteria; Enterobacterales; Enterobacteriaceae.